RNAcentral lists this transfer RNA (60 nucleotides) under Campylobacter jejuni. RNAcentral's name for it is "tRNA-Lys". It matches the Rfam family "tRNA", at positions 7 to 64 of the family's 71-position model. Rfam says of the family: Transfer RNA (tRNA) molecules are approximately 80 nucleotides in length. Their secondary structure includes four short double-helical elements and three loops (D, anti-codon, and T loops). The record is from RNAcentral. Lineage: Bacteria; Pseudomonadati; Campylobacterota; Epsilonproteobacteria; Campylobacterales; Campylobacteraceae.
UUAGCUCAGCCGGUAGAGCAUCUCCCUUUUAAGGAGGGGGCCGUUGGUUCGAAUCCAACA